AAGUCCGCGAGGAUUUGUCUGAAGGAAGCCCGAGCGCAAAGGUGCGAGCCGACGAACAGAAAUCGCAUAGAAGGCUCAGCUCUGGGGCGAGUCAGCACAAGAUGACGAAGCCCGCGGUGUCCAGGAGCAGGGUAAAUGCGGCGGUUGUGCACUGAAGGCUUAUGUU
Molecule: non-coding RNA, 166 nt
Organism: Betaproteobacteria bacterium
Lineage: Bacteria; Pseudomonadati; Pseudomonadota; Betaproteobacteria
Source: Rfam